Molecule: ribosomal RNA, 120 nt
Filed under: Nannospalax galili (Upper Galilee mountains blind mole rat)
Lineage: Eukaryota; Metazoa; Chordata; Mammalia; Rodentia; Spalacidae
Source: RNAcentral
AUCUACAGCCAUGCCACCUUGAACAUGCCUGAUCUCAUCUGAUCUCGGAAGCUAAGUAGGGUCGGACGUGGUUAGUACUUGGAUGGGAGAUAAAUCUUGGAAAAAAUAUAAAUGAAGUUU